CGGUAGCAGGAAGUGCUUGCACUUUGCUGACGAGUGGCGGACGGGUGAGUAAUACUUAGGAACAUGCCUUUGUGUGGGGGAUAACCAUUGGAAACGAUGGCUAAUACCGCAUAAUGUCUUUGGACCAAAGAGGGCUUUCGGGCUCUCGCGCAAAGAGUGGCCUAAGUGAGAUUAGCUUGUUGGUGAGGUAAAGGCUCACCAAGGCGACGAUCUCUAGCUGUUCUGAGAGGAAGAUCAGCCACACUGGGACUGAGACACGGCCCAGACUCCUACGGGAGGCAGCAGUGGGGAAUAUUGCACAAUGGGGGCAACCCUGAUGCAGCCAUGCCGCGUGUGUGAAGAAGGCCUUCGGGUUGUAAAGCACUUUCAGUUGUGAGGAAAGGUUGAUGGUUAAUACCCAUCAGCUGUGACGUUAGCAACAGAAGAAGCACCGGCUAACUCCGUGCCAGCAGCCGCGGUAAUACGGAGGGUGCGAGCGUUAAUCGGAAUUACUGGGCGUAAAGCGCACGCAGGCGGUUAUAUAAGCUAGAUGUGAAAGCCCCGGGCUCAACCUGGGAAUUGCAUUUAGAACUGGCAGGCUAGAGUUUUGGAGAGGGGAGUGGAAUUCCAGGUGUAGCG
RNAcentral lists this ribosomal RNA (618 nucleotides) under uncultured bacterium. Its description in RNAcentral is "bacterial SSU rRNA". It matches the Rfam family "Bacterial small subunit ribosomal RNA", at positions 67 to 680 of the family's 1533-position model. The record is from RNAcentral.